Molecule: ribosomal RNA, 484 nt
Filed under: uncultured bacterium
Lineage: Bacteria
Description: partial 16S ribosomal RNA
Rfam family: Bacterial small subunit ribosomal RNA
Source: RNAcentral
AUUGAACGCUGGCGGCAGGCCUAACACAUGCAAGUCGAGCGGAUGAAGGGAGCUUGCUCCUGGAUUCAGCGGCGGACGGGUGAGUAAUGCCUAGGAAUCUGCCUGGUAUUGGGGGAUAACGUCCGGAAACGGGCGCUAAUACCGCAUACGUCCUGAUGGAGAAAGUGGGGGAUCUUCGGACCUCACGCUAUCAGAUGAGCCUAGGUCGGAUUAGCUAGUUGGUGGGGUAAAGGCCUACCAAGGCGACGAUCCGUAACUGGUCUGAGAGGAUGAUCAGUCACACUGGAAGUGAGACAAGGUCCAGACUCCUACGGGAGGCAGCAGUGGGGAAUAUUGGACAAUGGGCGAAAGCCUGAUCCAGCCAUGCCGCGUGUGUGAAGAAGGUCUUCGGAUUGUAAAGAACUUUAAGUUGGGAGGAAGGGCAGUAAGUUAAUACGUUGCUGUUUUGACGUUACCAACAGAAUAAGCACCGGCUAACUUCGUG